CCUACGGGAGGCAGCAGUAGGGAAUCUUUCACAAUGGGCGAAAGCCUGAUGGAGCAACGCCGCGUGCAGGAUGAAGGCCUUCGGGUUGUAAACUGCUUUUAUAAGCGAGAAAGAUGAUGGUAACUUAUGAAUAAGGAUCGGCUAACUACGGGCCAGCAGCCGCGGUCAUACGUAGGAUCCGAGCAUUAUCCGGAGUGACUGGGUGUAAAGAGUUGCGUAGGUGGCAUAAUAAGUAGCUAGUGAAAUCUGGUGGCUCAACCAUUCAGACUAUUAGCUAAACUGUUAAGCUUGAGUCCGUUAGGGGUAACUGGAAUUCCUAGUGUAGGAGUGAAAUCCGUAGAUAUUAGAAGGAACACCGAUAGCGUAGGCAGGUUGCUGGGACGGUUCUGACACUAAGGCACGAAAGCGUAGGGAGCAAACGGGAUUAGAUACCCGGGUAGUC
RNAcentral lists this ribosomal RNA (442 nucleotides) under uncultured bacterium. RNAcentral describes it as "partial 16S ribosomal RNA". It matches the Rfam family "Bacterial small subunit ribosomal RNA", at positions 338 to 795 of the family's 1533-position model. The record is from RNAcentral.